RNAcentral lists this transfer RNA (77 nucleotides) under Pseudomonadota bacterium. RNAcentral's name for it is "Proteobacteria bacterium (hot springs metagenome) tRNA-Leu". It matches the Rfam family "tRNA". Rfam says of the family: Transfer RNA (tRNA) molecules are approximately 80 nucleotides in length. Their secondary structure includes four short double-helical elements and three loops (D, anti-codon, and T loops). The record is from RNAcentral. Lineage: Bacteria; Pseudomonadati; Pseudomonadota.
GGGUGUGUAAUCCAAUCGGUAGAGAUAGAGGACUUAAAAUCCUUCCAGUGUGGGUUCGAGUCCCACCACACCCACCA